RNAcentral lists this long non-coding RNA (1834 nucleotides) under Panax ginseng (ginseng). RNAcentral's name for it is "long non-coding RNA (PGIN_LNC012966)". Lineage: Eukaryota; Viridiplantae; Streptophyta; Magnoliopsida; Apiales; Araliaceae. The record is from RNAcentral.
UCAACUAGUAAUGCAUCCCAUUAAUAAAUCUUAUACAAGAUCCCAAUAUCAUCAUUCAAUAACCAACAUAGUAAAAUAUCUAAUUAACUAAUAUAACACUCCACUUAAUAAAUCCUUGACAAAACCCUCUUUUCGCUCAUCAGGAAGCCUAAAGAAAACCACCAUCCUCCUCACGAGCAAGCUCGCACAUGACCUUGUUACAUUCACUAUCAGUUAGACCGGACACAUUACUCAAACACAUUAUUGAGAUUUUUGCGUUGCUCAUUUAAUGAAGCCUCCAUUCCAAGAAAGUUAGCAAAUUGAGUAGAUGAUUCAACACAUCAUUUGUUCGAUCAUUUCUGCAGCCGAUAGAGAAUCUUUCCCAGUUGCUCUAUCCUUGCCAAACAUAUAACAUAGAUCCAAAUAAUUUAGAAAUGUCUUAUUCUGCCACUUUGCUCUCUUUUGGUGCACCUAAAACAAGUUAGAGAAAAGGUCAUCAAAAAAGUUACAAGCAAGACAUAUAUAAUAGUACACAAACCCCUUAACUUAAAUAAACAAUUAAAAAGAAUCUAGCUGGAGUAGUCAGACAACAAAUUUCACACAACCAUGAAAACACCACUCACUGGAUGUCUCCUAACCCCAGAACUUUUGAUUAUCAUAUGCAACAUGAAUAUCCAGACUAUACUAAUGCACCAGGAAUAUCCAAACAUAUACCAAGGCAUAUAAACAUCACAAUGGCAGAGCAAAAAACAGAGGGAUAAGCAAUUAAAAUAUCACAGUUGAUAUCACACAACUGCAGGUACACAGUAAAAAAUAAAGUAUAAGCACUUAAGUCUACAGUUUAAAAUGAAAAUGCCCAAAACUAAUUUUGCUACUGCAAACACAAUGUACCACUUUUAAUACAUAUAUGGCACUGGCACAACACUACAAUGCAUCCCAUGAAAGAUGAAACUGCAAUGGAACUAAAAUUUCAUUGAAUAUACACAUGUAGUAGUUGCACAUAAAAUAUAAACACACACACACACAUAGAUAUAAACUUCUCGUGAUUAAUGCAAAUUGCUAAUUAGAUUUAUAAUAGAAACCCUUGAUCUUCACAUAAACCAAACAACCAAGUAGCUGAUUAACAAUUUCAAAAACAAAAUGAACUGAAGCCUGAAAGUGGGACUUGGUCAUAGAAUUUCAACAAAUGAACAUUACAUCCGAAGCAUACCAUAUUUCCAGUUAAAGUUCUUAAACAAAGUACACUGUUACAACAGAAAAAUGUUGAUAUCGCAGCAGCUAAACUAAACUAAGUAUGGCAAAAUAAAAUCAAUGAAAGUUGAAACAUAAAAGAGCUAUCAAAUUUAUAGUAGUAAAAUGAGUUUACCUGGUGUAAUUGUGAAAAUAUAUACACAUCCCAUGCCAUUCAAAUCUGUAAAUUUUAGUAUGCUACAAAAUUGUUUCAUUUGUUAUGUUAAAUUCAUAAAUUGAGUCCACAAUUUCUAUCAAUAUCCAAUUAAUUUACAUGAAACUCAUCGAAUAUCAUCAGAAAAAAAUAAAAAGGAGAAAAAAAAUCAAGUCUAAAUCCACUGAAGAAGGAAGACGAACUAGAACAAAUUACUUGUCAUAAAAUAACAAGUCAAAAUCACCACAAAAUCAAAGCAAAAAAUACGAUCAAAAAGUUUAUCUCCAUUUAUAGAUGGAUAUAUAUCAAUAAUCAAAAAUCAUACCAGAAUUAUAAAGAGACUUGGAAGCGAUUUGAUUCAAUUCAAAGCUUUGGAAGAACUUGAUAAUUACCUGAUAAAUAGAAAGAAAGAAAAAAAACGAAUAGCCAAGGAUCUGAGAUCUGAUAAAUUUGAGAUGAAAUCAAUCUGUG